RNAcentral lists this ribosomal RNA (254 nucleotides) under uncultured bacterium. RNAcentral describes it as "partial 16S ribosomal RNA". It matches the Rfam family "Bacterial small subunit ribosomal RNA", at positions 524 to 776 of the family's 1533-position model. The record is from RNAcentral.
UACGGGGGGAGCAAGCGUUGUUCGGAUUUACUGGGCGUAAGGGGCGCGUAGGCGGCCACCGCAAGUCGACUGUGAAAUCUCCGGGCUUAACCCGGAAAGGUCAGCCGAUACUGCGGGGCUAGAGUGCAGAAGGGGCAACUGGAAUUCUCGGUGUAGCGGUGAAAUGCGUAGAUAUCGAGAGGAACACCUGCGGCGAAGGCGGGUUGCUGGGCUGACACUGACGCUGAGGCGCGAAAGCUAGGGGAGCGAACGGG